GGAUGUGAGGGUGAUCUGCCUGUGACAUCUGCCACACCCUUGAGCACAGGGUUGACUCAGCUGAUCUCACUUGCUAGGCAGGUGCCCCCUCUUUCUCCUUCAAUGCUCUGUGUGUGUCCUUCCCAAAGCUGGGCUCUGGGCGGAAGAGGACAAACACUCUGACAGAGGAGGACAUUCCUUGGUCAGGGGUAUAGGAGUAGCUGUGUUUCCCUGCUAGAAAUGCCAAAUAUGUAUAUUUUUGCCUGUCCCCUUCAAGAAUUUAUUGUCAAACUUUCUGUGUUACUUUAAUUAUGUCUCUCAUAAAAUAUGGAUCUUUUGAACUAUAUCUAAAUAUUU
This is an unclassified non-coding RNA of Cavia porcellus (domestic guinea pig), 336 nucleotides long. Its record names the gene 7SK. It matches the Rfam family "7SK RNA". Rfam says of the family: 7SK was discovered as an abundant small nuclear RNA in the mid-70s but a possible function has only recently been suggested. Lineage: Eukaryota; Metazoa; Chordata; Mammalia; Rodentia; Caviidae. The record is from Ensembl.